Molecule: long non-coding RNA, 1781 nt
Organism: Oryza sativa Japonica Group (Japanese rice)
Lineage: Eukaryota; Viridiplantae; Streptophyta; Magnoliopsida; Poales; Poaceae
Source: RefSeq, a predicted model, not a curated record
UCUCCUCUUCUUCGCAUCGUCUCUCUCUCUCUCACACACACACAAAUUAAAUUGCGAGCAAAAAAGAAAGAUUGCGGCCAUGCUCUCCACAGGCUUUCUUGAACUGUGAACUCGUGUGUGCAUGCUCCUCAUAUAUUGUUCUAGAUCCCAUGCAUGAUGCAUAUCGAUCGAUCUGAUCUGAAUUAGGUCAUCGAUGCGCAUCUGGAUCCCCAUCUUGUUGAUAGUUCAAGAAAGUCCUUGGAAAACAUGGUGCCCUCGAUCUUAAUUAUAUCUUACUUAUAUAUCUACCUAGCUAUAUCUCCUGCCUGCUCUAAUUCUUGGAUCGAUCGCGAUGGAGAUUAAUUGAUCUGUACAUCGAUCCAUGCAUAUCAGAUACUGCUCACCCGGCCGCCAUCUGCGUGCAAUUCGAUCUAGCAGCUGGGAAAUGAAAGCUAAGAAAGAUAGCGUGCACGAGCGUGCAGAAUGGCAGCAUAUGUAUGCAUUAUUCAGUACUGCUAGAUGAACAGAAUCUAGAAAAAGAUGAACUGAACAGCAGCAGCAGCAGCAGAUCGAAGGAUGGAUGGAUGGACGGAUGGAGCAAGCUAAGCUAAGCUUUCGUUUUGUCGAUCCAUCCGUCCAUCGGUGUCGACCUAGCUAGAAAGGCUGACCUGUCGCGUCGUCCAUCCAAGAUCGAUCCAACCAGCAACCAGGCAUCAGACAGGCUCUUUCUUGUCCAGCUGCUGCUGCUGCUAGUACACAUACUACACUGUCUCUGCUGCAUGCAUGCAUGCUGCUCACCUCAUCUGAUUGAGAGUUCAGAAUUGUUGAGAGCAAGCAAGAAAUUGAGAAACGGCCAGGACAGAUUGGAUUGAUCUUAAUUGGCAUAUAUGCUGCUCGAUCGAUACUGUCUGUCAGUUCUCAGUUCGUCGAUCGAUCAAGUCUAUAUUUGGAUAUCUGAAUCUCUGCAAAUGCCAACUCGACCACUAAGCAAUUCAUCAAUGGACAUGAUCAUAGUAAUGUCGAUCGACGUGCAGUGUCACUCAUUGUUGGGAGCACGGUCAAAACCUCCAGUUCAUAUCAUAUCAUAUGAAAUCGAUCUCAAGCUCAAGCAGUUUCGAUAGAUGCAAAAUUGAAGAUGGAAGUAUAAAUAACUGCUACUGUAUAUACAUAUGGAGGGCAGGAAGGCAGGCAGGAGAUUGAUGAAGUGACGCGAGCCUGCCUUGAAUUGUGCUAGUUUCUCUUUCUCUCUGCGCGUGUGCUUGCUGCCCCUAGCUAGCUAGCGAAGCGUGUGCUUUCACUGUGCAUUGCAUAUGAUAGGAGGUAGUACUCCACUACUCCAUGGUGAACUGGUGGUUGCAUUGCUAACCACAGCCAUAGAGCUACUGAGCUAGCUGCGAAUAAUUUCAUUCAUGUUUGCCGAUCGAUCGAGCUGCAGCAAUGAUCUUUCCCUGCAGCAAUGAUCACGUUGCAUGCUUACUUGUUUCUCUUCUUUUAACUUUUUUCCCCUCUCCUUUCUUUCAUCCAUAGUUUUUACGUUAAUAUGCAGAUGCAGGCAGCACACCUUCUUCUUGCUCCACCGGCUACCAGCACCUAAGUAAUUAGUGUGUUCAUGCGCCUCUGAUUAUAUAUGUACAUAUAUAUAUACUCCAAUAUAUGUGGUAGCAUGGAUAUAUAUACAAUUCAUGUCUUUUGUAUGUACUAAUUAAUGUGUAUUGUCAUGUGCAAUAAUGGAAAAUGAUGAUGUAAAAGUUGAGACGACUGAACUAUAAAUAAAAAUAUAUAUGAAAGAUGGCAUUAUUACA